RNAcentral lists this ribosomal RNA (493 nucleotides) under uncultured bacterium. Its description in RNAcentral is "partial 16S ribosomal RNA". It matches the Rfam family "Bacterial small subunit ribosomal RNA", at positions 29 to 507 of the family's 1533-position model. The record is from RNAcentral.
AGUGAACGCUGGCGGUAGGCCUAACACAUGCAAGUCGAACGGCAGCACAGUAAGAGCUUGCUCUUACGGGUGGCGAGUGGCGGACGGGUGAGGAAAUACAUCGGAAUCUACUUUUUCGUGGGGGAUAACGUAGGGAAACUUACGCUAAUACCGCAUACGACCUACGGGUGAAAGCAGGGGAUCUUCGGACCUUGCGCGAUUGAAUGAGCCGAUGUCGGAUUAGCUAGUUGGCGGGGUAAAGGCCCACCAAGGCGACGAUCCGUAGCUGGUCUGAGAGGAUGAUCAGCCACACUGGAACUGAGACACGGUCCAGACUCCUACGGGAGGCAGUAGUGGGGAAUAUUGGACAAUGGGCGCAAGCCUGAUCCAGCCAUACCGCGUGGGUGAAGAAGGCCUUCGGGUUGUAAAGCCCUUUUGUUGGGAAAGAAAAGCAGCAGGUUAAUACCCCGCUGUUCUGACGGUACCCAAAGAAUAAGCACCGGCUAACUUCGUG